GCCCGGGUGGCGGAAAGGCAUACGCACAACACUUAAAAUGUUGCGGUCGUAAGACCAUGUGGGUUCGACUCCCACCCCGGGCACAA
Molecule: transfer RNA, 86 nt
Filed under: Candidatus Nealsonbacteria bacterium CG_4_9_14_3_um_filter_37_29
Lineage: Bacteria; Candidatus Nealsoniibacteriota
Also listed under: 2 other names
Description: tRNA-Leu
Rfam family: tRNA
About the family: Transfer RNA (tRNA) molecules are approximately 80 nucleotides in length. Their secondary structure includes four short double-helical elements and three loops (D, anti-codon, and T loops). Further hydrogen bonds mediate the characteristic L-shaped molecular structure. tRNAs have two regions of fundamental functional importance: the anti-codon, which is responsible for specific mRNA codon recognition, and the 3' end, to which the tRNAs corresponding amino acid is attached (by aminoacyl-tRNA synthetases). tRNAs cope with the degeneracy of the genetic code in two manners: having more than one tRNA (with a specific anti-codon) for a particular amino acid; and 'wobble' base-pairing, i.e. permitting non-standard base-pairing at the 3rd anti-codon position.
Source: RNAcentral